Panicum virgatum (switchgrass) is the source of this 1262-nucleotide long non-coding RNA. RefSeq lists it as uncharacterized. The record is from RefSeq and is a predicted model, not a curated record. The transcript has 2 exons. NCBI's taxonomy places the organism in Eukaryota, Viridiplantae, Streptophyta, Magnoliopsida, Poales, Poaceae.
UCUAGUCAACUGAAGUCGCGCUGGUGGGAUCGAUCGACAGAACAGAACUCAUCCCCGUCUCCCCGCUACCUGGCAGCAGCGCCACAGCGGGAUCCCGGCGGCGGUCCCCGGCGCGGCAAGGGCAGCCCGCGGCGGCGCCGACCCCCGAUGGCCACAGCGACGACGGAGGCUACGGCACCCGGCGGCGGCCCCGCAGCCCCGCCGCGGCGGAAGCCCCGAGCACGGCAAGAAGCGACGGCGCCCAACUGCGGCCACACCGGCGGUCGAGAUGGAGCCGGAAUCCAAUCCACGCUUCUUCACCGAGAUUUUUCCUGAGGAACAGACUAAUCUUGAAUGGGUUCCUAAUGGGUAAGUCCUCUUCCAAUUCUCCCUAGGGUUUGGAAUUCCCCAUAGGUUAGUGCUGACUAUAGGCUAGUAUCUGUUAAUUCGGCUGCUAUGUGUGCACUUGUUUGUGUAGGAUGGAUCCCAGUUUGUCCUAAAGGCUUGCUGUGCGAGUAGGUGCUUAUAUCAAUUUUACUGAUGAUGGACCUCGUGUGUAUUGUGAAGCUUGUAACAUUCCUAAGAUUUUAGACAGAGAUAGUACAAAUUUGAAUGAUUUGGUAACUGAAAUUGAUUCAAAAAUUAAGCUAGGCUCUAAACACAAGUUGUGUGUCAUUUACUGGGACAAAGUGACUCGCAGUAAUGGUGGAUAUUGAAUAUGAGCAAGUUGGAAAGAAAAUGAGAUUUACUAGGAUGUUUGUUGCACUAAAAUCUUGUGUGGAUGGUUUUCUAAAUGGUUGUCGUCCUUUUCUUGGUGUGGACUCCACGCACUUGACUGGGAAGUAAAAGGGUCAAUUUGCAUCUGCGACCGCUAUUGAUGGGCACAAUUGGAUGUUUCCAGUAUGCUAAGCUAUGUUUGGCUCGGAGACAACUGAAAAUUGGUCUUGGUUUUUCAGCAGACUUGAGCAAGCUAUUGGAUCACCUCGUGGCCUAGUGCUCAUGACAGAUGCAGGCAAAGGAAUUGAUUCUACUGUCAUUCAAAUAUUCAAAAAUGGAGUUGAACAUAGAGAGUGCAUGAGACACUUAGUUGCGAACUUCCAGAAGCGCUUUCGAGGACCGGCGCCGAGAUCCUCACGAAAUGCUAGGGGAAAUCAUCUAUAUGGAUGUUGGCUGUGGUCGAUCUUCUUGCUAAUUGUACAAAACUUUCUAAAAAGUUCGAAAUUGCAAUGGUGAUUUUAGCCAGGAGGACAAGUUCUAGGCUUCCGGGCCUCAACUUUCCGGUA